RNAcentral lists this unclassified non-coding RNA (167 nucleotides) under uncultured Helotiales. RNAcentral's name for it is "sequence contains ITS1". The record is from RNAcentral. Lineage: Eukaryota; Fungi; Ascomycota; Leotiomycetes; Helotiales.
CCGAGUUCAUGCCCUCACGGGUAGAUCUCCCACCCUAUGUUAUAUUACCUUUGUUGCUUUGGCGGGCCGUCAGGCUUCGGUCAGGCUACCGGCCCCGGCUGGUAAGCGCCCGCCAGAGAACCCUAAACUCUGAAUGUUAGUGUCGUCUGAGUACUAUCUAAUAGUUA